Cannabis sativa is the source of this 97-nucleotide small nucleolar RNA. RefSeq annotates it as small nucleolar RNA Z43. The transcript has a single exon. The record is from RefSeq and is a predicted model, not a curated record. NCBI's taxonomy places the organism in Eukaryota, Viridiplantae, Streptophyta, Magnoliopsida, Rosales, Cannabaceae.
GGACAGUGACGAUUGUGAUUAGGUCUCGUUCGUCGUAAUGGGCUUUAACAAGUCCUUGCCGACCAUUCUGUUAUAUCACCACCCAUAUUCUGAGUCC